Long non-coding RNA from Mauremys reevesii (Reeves's turtle), 194 nucleotides. RefSeq lists it as uncharacterized. The transcript has 3 exons. The record is from RefSeq and is a predicted model, not a curated record. Lineage: Eukaryota; Metazoa; Chordata; Testudines; Geoemydidae.
GGGAGCGCUGCAAAUGGAAUGAGAAAUUGAAAAUUAAAGUGCUCCUGUGCAUCAGUCCAGCAUAUUGUUACUGCGGUGAAGAAUGCCAUGCAGCCAAGGUGCCUGAGCGGAACAUUUGCAGAUGAGGAGUUAUUUGACCAUACAUCAUUUUUAUAUAUGAACGGUCUAAGCAGGGACAAGCUCAGUUCACCCAG